Molecule: transfer RNA, 72 nt
Filed under: archaeon
Lineage: Archaea
Also listed under: 3 other names
Description: tRNA-Thr
Rfam family: tRNA
About the family: Transfer RNA (tRNA) molecules are approximately 80 nucleotides in length. Their secondary structure includes four short double-helical elements and three loops (D, anti-codon, and T loops).
Source: RNAcentral
GCCUCAGUAGCUCAGAGGCAGAGCGCUUGACUUGUAAUCAAGAGCGCGCGGGUUCAAGUCCCGCCUGGGGCU